RNAcentral lists this ribosomal RNA (501 nucleotides) under uncultured bacterium. RNAcentral's name for it is "partial 16S ribosomal RNA". It matches the Rfam family "Bacterial small subunit ribosomal RNA", at positions 28 to 523 of the family's 1533-position model. The record is from RNAcentral.
GAUGAACGCUAGCGAUAGGCUUAACACAUGCAAGUUGAGCGGGGGAAGGUAGCUUGCUACCGGACCUGGCGGCGGACGGGUGAGUAAUGCUUAGGAAUCUGCCUAUUAGUGGGGGACAACAUCUCGAAAGGGAUGCUAAUACCGCAUACGUCCUACGGGAGAAAGCAGGGGAUCUUCGGACCUUGCGCUAAUAGAUGAGCCUAAGUCGGAUUAGCUAGUUGGUGGGGUAAAGGCCUACCAAGGCGACGAUCUGUAGCGGGUCUGAGAGGAUGAUCCGCCACACUGGGACUGAGACACGGCCCAGACUCCUACGGGAGGCAGCAGUGGGGAAUAUUGGACAAUGGGGGGAACCCUGAUCCAGCCAUGCCGCGUGUGUGAAGAAGGCCUUAUGGUUGUAAAGCACUUUAAGCGAGGAGGAGGCUGCUCUAGUUAAUACCUAGGGAUAGUGGACGUUACUCGCAGAAUAAGCACCGGCUAACUCUGUGCCAGCCGCCGCCGUAA